This 1102-nucleotide ribosomal RNA is filed under the name Bacillus sp. (in: firmicutes). Its description in RNAcentral is "bacterial SSU rRNA". It matches the Rfam family "Bacterial small subunit ribosomal RNA", at positions 40 to 1124 of the family's 1533-position model. The record is from RNAcentral. Lineage: Bacteria; Bacillati; Bacillota; Bacilli; Caryophanales; Bacillaceae.
UUGCAUGCGCUGCUAUACAUGCAGUCGAGCGGACAGAAGGGAGCUUGCUCCCGGAAGUCAGCGGCGGACGGGUGAGUAACACGUAUGUAACCUGCCCCUUACACUGGGAUAACUCCGGGAAACCGGAGCUAAUACGGGAUAAUAAAGAGAAUCACCUGAUUCUCUUUUGAAAGACGGUUUCGGCUGUCACUAACGGAUGGGCCUGCGGCGCAUUAGCUAGUUGGUAAGGUAACGGCUUACCAAGGCGACCAUGCGUAGCCGACCUGAAAGGGUGAUCGGCCACACUGGGACUGAGACACGGCCCGACUCCUACGGGAGGCAGCAGUAGGGAAUCUUCCGCAAUGGACGAAAGUCUGACGGAACAACGCCCCGUGAGUGAGGAAGGCCUUCCGGUCGUAAAGCUCUGUUGUGAGGGAAGAACAAGUACCGGCGUAACUACCGGUACCUUGACGGGACCUCACCCGAAAGCCACGGCUAACUACGUGCCAGCAGCCGCGGUAAUACGUAUGUGGCAAGCGUUGUCCGGAAUUAUUGGGCGUAAAGCGCGCGCAGGCGGCUUCUUAAGUCUGAUGUGAAAUCUCGGGGCUCAACCCCGAACGGCCAUUGGAAACUGGGAAGCUUGAGUGCAGAAGAAGAGAGUGGAAUUCCACGUGUACCGGUGAAAUGCGUAAAUAUGUGGAGGAACACCAGUGGCUAAGGCGACUCUCUGGUCUGUAACUGACGCUGAAGCGCGAAAGCGUGGGGAGCAAACAGGAUUAGAUACCCUGGUAGUCCACGCCGUAAACGAUGAGUGCUACGUGUUAGGGGUUUCGAUGCCCGUACUGCCGAAGUACACACAUUAAGCACUCCCCCUGGGGAGUACCGCCGCGACGCUGAAACUCCCAGGAAUUGACGGGGACCUCCCACGAGCAGUGGAGCAUGUGGCUUUAAGUCCGAGCAGCGCGCAGUACCUUACCAGUCCUUGACAUCCCUUUGACGACUCUUGUAGACGAGCUGCCCCGUUCGUGGGCAAGUGACACGUGAUGACAUGGUGUCAGUCAGCUCAUGUCCUGAAACGCUGGGUCAGUCCCGCACGAGUCGCACCUGAUCUAGUAGCCAGCAU